GUCCAGACUCCUACGGGAGGCAGCAGUGAGGAAUAUUGGUCAAUGGGCGGGAGCCUGAACCAGCCAAGUCGCGUGAGGGAUGACGGCCCUAUGGGUUGUAAACCUCUUUUGCCGGGGAGCAAGCGUGCGUUCGUGAACGCGCGUCGAGAGUACCCGGAGAAAAAGCAUCGGCUAACUCCGUGCCAGCAGCCGCGGUAAUACGGAGGAUGCGAGCGUUAUCCGGAUUUAUUGGGUUUAAAGGGUGCGUAGGCGGGAUGCCAAGUCAGGGGUAAAAAUGCGGGGCGCAACGCCGGCGAGCCGUUGAAACUGGCGUUCUUGAGUGGGCGAGAAGUAUGCGGAAUGCGUGGUGUAGCGGUGAAAUGCAGAGAUAUCACGCAGAACUCCGAUUGCGAAGGCAGCAUACCGGCGCCCUACUGACGCUGAGGCACGAAAGCGUGGGUAUCGAACAGGAUUAGAUACCCUGGUAAA
Molecule: ribosomal RNA, 468 nt
Filed under: uncultured bacterium
Lineage: Bacteria
Description: bacterial SSU rRNA
Rfam family: Bacterial small subunit ribosomal RNA
Source: RNAcentral